Molecule: long non-coding RNA, 300 nt
Filed under: Ictidomys tridecemlineatus (thirteen-lined ground squirrel)
Lineage: Eukaryota; Metazoa; Chordata; Mammalia; Rodentia; Sciuridae
Description: lncRNA (ENSSTOG00000029361.1)
Source: RNAcentral
UCUGAGGUGCAUAUUACUAAGGAAUGAUUUGGGGGAUUUGAGGCAUGUUUUUUUCACUGGCCAGUUAGGCUGACGCCAUGGUAAGGCUCAUGAGGUCUCCUCUGUGUUUUUCAGAAUCUGCAUGGUUACGACCCAGUGUCAUGGCCACACACUGUCUUCAUCUGACUCUCAGCUCAGUUACCUUCCCCAAAGGCUCCAACACACCAUGAAGUACCCCCCUGGGGCAGCCCAUGGAGACAGUCAUUGUCUGGUUCAGAGUUGGCUGAGAUUCCAGGGAACUUGAAAUCACAUAUGCAUUUU